AACGUAGGACGCGAGCGUUAUCCGGAGUUACUGGGCGUAAAGGGCGCGUAGGCGGUCAGCACAAGUCAGUUGUGAAAUCUCCGAGCUUAACUCGGAAAGGUCAACUGAUACUGUGCGACUAGAGUGCAGAAGGGGCAACUGGAAUUCUUGGUGUAGCGGUGAAAUGCGUAGAUAUCAAGAGGAACACCUGCGGCGAAGGCGGGUUGCUGGGCUGACACUGACGCUGAAGCGCGAAAGCCAGGGGAGCGAACGGG
Molecule: ribosomal RNA, 254 nt
Filed under: uncultured Acidobacteriota bacterium
Lineage: Bacteria; Pseudomonadati; Acidobacteriota
Description: uncultured Acidobacteria bacterium partial 16S ribosomal RNA
Rfam family: Bacterial small subunit ribosomal RNA
Source: RNAcentral